CCUGCGAGUCUUUGUAGCAAUACAAGGCAGACGGCUCAGUAACACGUAGUCAAUCUACCCUAUGGACGGGGAUAACCUCGGGAAACUGAGAAUAAUACCCGAUAGAUCAUUAUGCCUGGAAUGGUUUAUGUUCAAAAUGAUUUAUCGCCGUAGGAUGGGACUGCGGCCUAUCAGUUUGUUGGUGAGGUAAUGGCCCACCAAGACUAUUACAGGUACGGGCUCUGAGAGGAGUAGCCCGGAGAUGGGUACUGAGACACGGACCCAGGCCCUAUGGGGCGCAGCAGGCGAGAAAACUUUGCAAUGUGCGAAAGCACGACAAGGUUAAUCCGAGUGGUUUCUGCUAAAGGAACCUUUUGACAGUCCUAGAAACACUGUUGAAUAGGGGGUGGGCAAGUUCUGGUGUCAGCCGCCGCGGUAAANACCAGCACCUCAAGUGGUCAGGAUGAUUAUUGGGCCAAAGCAUCCGUAGCCGGCUCUGUAAGUUUUCGGUUAAAUCUAUACGCUCAACGUAUAGGCUGCCGGGAAUACUGCAGAGCUAGGGAGUGGGAGAGGUAGACGGUACUCGGUAGGAAGGGGUAAAAUCCUUUGAUCUAUUGAUGACCACCUGUGGCGAAGGCGGUCUACCAGAACACGCCCGACGGUGAGGGAUGAAAGCU
Molecule: ribosomal RNA, 656 nt
Filed under: uncultured archaeon
Lineage: Archaea
Description: bacterial SSU rRNA
Rfam family: Archaeal small subunit ribosomal RNA
Source: RNAcentral